AAGUCGUAACAAGGUCUCCGUUGGUGAACCAGCGGAGGGAUCAGUCCAAAACGUAUUAAAACGUUAACACCGUUUUAAAAACCCCACCGUGCUCUUUGUUGAUUUGCCAUUUUUAGAGGUUUGGGCAGUGAUAAUGUCAUGUUAUCAAAAUUCUAAACCUCUACUUUGUAUUAACCUAUUAACCCUUUUUUUUACUGUUACAACUGAUUUGGGUGCCAACUGAACAAUUACAUUGUUCGGGCGGUACCAAGUAUAAAAUAAAUUGAUACAACUCAUGCCGGCGGAUACCUUGGUUCUC
This 298-nucleotide unclassified non-coding RNA is filed under the name fungal sp. Its description in RNAcentral is "partial internal transcribed spacer region". The stretch from base 1 to 46 matches the Rfam family "Eukaryotic small subunit ribosomal RNA", at positions 1786 to 1831 of the family's 1831-position model. The record is from RNAcentral. Lineage: Eukaryota; Fungi.